RNAcentral lists this ribosomal RNA (397 nucleotides) under uncultured bacterium. RNAcentral describes it as "partial 16S ribosomal RNA". It matches the Rfam family "Bacterial small subunit ribosomal RNA", at positions 523 to 918 of the family's 1533-position model. The record is from RNAcentral.
AUACUUAGGUGGCAAGCGUUGUCCGGAUUUAUUGGGCGUAAAGCGAGCGCAGGCGGUCUCUUAAGUCUGAUGUGAAAGCCCCCGGCUCAACCGGGGAGGGUCAUUGGAAACUGGGAGACUCGAGUGCAGAAGAGGAGAGUGGAAUUCCAUGUGUAGCGGUGAAAUGCGUAGAUAUAUGGAGGAACACCAGUGGCGAAGGCGGCUCUCUGGUCUGUAACUGACGCUGAGGCUCGAAAGCGUGGGGAGCAAACAGGAUUAGAUACCCUGGUAGUCCACGCCGUAAACGAUGAGUGCUAAGUGUUGGAGGGUUUCCGCCCUUCAGUGCUGCAGCUAACGCAUUAAGCACUCCGCCUGGGGAGUACGGCCGCAAGGCUGAAACUCAAAGGAAUUGACGGGG